Molecule: microRNA precursor, 207 nt
Organism: Oryza sativa Japonica Group (Japanese rice)
Lineage: Eukaryota; Viridiplantae; Streptophyta; Magnoliopsida; Poales; Poaceae
Rfam family: MIR812 microRNA precursor family
Source: Rfam
AAAAUAGGUAAACAUUGGUUUCCGUGUCGAUCUUUGACUGUCCGUCUUAUAUAAAAAUUUUUUAUAAUUCGUAUUUUCAUUGUUGUGAGAUGAUAAAACAUGAUUAAUAUUUUAUGCGUGACUUGUCUUUUUUAUUUUUUUUUCAUAAUUUUUUUAAAUAAGACGGAAGGUCAAACGUUGGGCAUGGAAACCAGGGUUUCUCUUUUU